Molecule: long non-coding RNA, 237 nt
Organism: Panicum virgatum (switchgrass)
Lineage: Eukaryota; Viridiplantae; Streptophyta; Magnoliopsida; Poales; Poaceae
Exons: 2
Source: RefSeq, a predicted model, not a curated record
AGAAGCUUGCAGAGAUGGCGUGGAGUUUCUCCCAAUUUGCACUGGUAUACCUUCCAUGCCAAUUCAACUGAAACGCAUUUUGUUGGUAAAUAUGUUCGAUAAUAUAAAAGACCUUAAACAAGUUUCUAUUUUCAUACUUGCUGGCUUUACUAGCAGAACCAGCACAUGCCUAUAUUCAGAGUUGCACCUAAAAGCUGUUCUAUUUGAAUUUCGUAAUGUUCAGUUGAACUUUGUUUC